UGCACCAUUUCAGAACAUGUCCUUUUGCCA
This 30-nucleotide non-coding RNA is filed under the name Mus musculus (house mouse). Lineage: Eukaryota; Metazoa; Chordata; Mammalia; Rodentia; Muridae. The record is from RNAcentral.